UCGCAUGCUAGGGGAGAACUUAGCCCCUAAAAGCUGCCCUCUGACCUCCACAUGCACACCCCUCCCUUCCCAGUGAAGUAACGGAAAGUAAAUGUGACGUCAUGGAUUUAGAACCAAUCAGGAGAGGCUUGUGGGAGGCCCUGGGCGUCACAUGAGAAGCCCUUGCUCGUGGUGAGCUUUCUGCAUGAACCCUGCAGUGAGGACUUCUCAUUCUAGGGACAUUUGGCACAGGCAGAAACAGGAUCUCAAAACAAACAAAAACCCUAUCGGAUCAGAGAGAAGAUGUCACUGCCAACGUACAGGAGGAACAUAAGCCCCCAGUUUCUUUGGUUAAGGGGUUCUGCCUGGAUUCUAUCUUGGCAAGCCUCACAGUCUACGGAGUUGGCGUGGCUCUUGGCACCUGAGCAUGUGCAGAUUAGGAAAGACAACAGGGGGAGACCAUCUACAUUGUAUAGAGAGCCCAUCUGAUGUGCCCACGCCUGCAGUUCCUUUAUCAGAAGUGAGCCUAGAGCAUGAAGACAAAGACAAUUCUGGUCUCUGUGGGGAUGUGGAACAGUCCCGGGGCAGCUAAUCGCAGCCAGUGUCCAGCCUCAGCCGCCUACCCAUCCCAGCAGCGAUCCUUCCUUCUGGUGCUAAAGGAAGUCUCCCCCGCCGUGCGGUCACUUGAAGGAUGCCCAGAUGUCUGCAGGGCUGACUCCAUCAGCACAAGAUGAAUCUCUCCACCUCUUCAGAGAGCAGAUCAAGGAAGCCAGCCACAGGGCAUCUACUUUGACUGCUUUCUCAGAAGCCACUCUGCAGACACCUCAAAUCAACACCCUCCCCAGGGAGGCUGCACUCCCAACACCUAUGGUGAUACUGUGGCCCAGUCCCUGGCUUGGAGCUUCUUCCCCCUUUUAUCAGCUUUUCCCCAAUAAUACAAACCAUUAGAGCACAUGCCCCAGGUAAGCCCAGCCAAUCAAGGAAAAUAAAACUUGCUAAUCUAA
Molecule: non-coding RNA, 983 nt
Organism: Rattus norvegicus (Norway rat)
Lineage: Eukaryota; Metazoa; Chordata; Mammalia; Rodentia; Muridae
Source: RefSeq, a predicted model, not a curated record